GAACAGGUUCUUGGCUGCAUGGCCUCACAGCUAGGAGACCCGAGUUCAAUUCCACUCUCGGGGGGGGGUGGGUUUUCUCCGGGUAUUCCGGUUUCCGCCCACAUUCCAAAAACAUGCUUGGUCAAUUAGCGACUGCAAAUUGUAGUAGUGUAAAGGGGAUUGUAGGGGUGUUAUUUUAUAUAUCAAAGGGCUCUAACGCUAAAAAAGUGUAUUUAGAAGGUCAUGAACAGGUUCUUGGCUGCAUGGUUGUCAAGCGGUUAGCACGCAGGCCUCACAGCUAGGAGACCCGAGUUCAAUUCCACUCCCGGGGGGGGUGGGUUUUCUCCGGGUUCUCCGGUUUCCGCCCACAUUCCAAAAACAUGCUAGGUUAAUUGUUCUAAUUGAGAAAAGGCGUCAACUUUAAGGUAAGGAGUGAGGUCUUGUCACAUCUGGAGGAGUUCGGUACCUUUGGGUCUUGUUCACGAGUGAGAUGGACAGGAAACGGCAACAAUGGAGGAAACCCUAAGAGGAACUGGCUGGGUCAUCCAGGAGGGGCUCGGCGUAGAGAGUGGAGCCGCUGGUUCUUCUCAUGGAUAGGAGCCGGUUGAGGUGGCUGGAGCAUCUGGUCGGGAUUCCUACCUGGUGUGAUGCUGAAGACCUAAGACACGCACCCGGGGACACCUUGGUGUGGUGUGACUCCCCGUGGGAAUCUGGACUUCCCUGUGCUGCCCCCCAUGACCCCGACCCACUUUCUGGGGACUCUUCUGUCUCCCGGGAUUCUUCCUCCGUGAUCGACGGUUCUUGUUUCUGGCUGUUGCGAGGCAGCGGCUUUGAAGUUCUCUCCGUUAGCCACGCUUAGCGACAAUGGACCUGCAAGGGAACCAGGCUUGAGCUCCUAGGUGUUUCCACCCGGUGGCCAUGCAUGUUAAUGAGGAUCUGAGCUCUCCCCGUUCCUCCAAGGUCACACACACACACACACACACACACACAUAAACACACACAUCUGCAAUGUAGCUGCGCUGUAGGGAUUAACCGCCCCAUGCAUCUCCAUUCCAUAUGCUCGCUGUUUGUCCGUGCACGCUCACACAUGACACUGACCUUGUGGCGAGCGGGGAUGUGGCAGGGAAAACAGAUGCAUGCGUGUCAUUGUUAAGGAUGGCGCCGUGCCUCUUCGCCGUGUGAUCAGCAGGGGACGCGAUACGAUACACAAGCACUGCUCUCGCAAAGCACUUCUCUCUCAAGGGCACAGCCUGCUUUGGUCUUAACCAUGAUGCCUUUACGGCCGCCAUCAACAUAUAUAUAAACAUUUCAUUUACUCAUGGACUAGUCAUGCGCUAUGCAUACCUAUUUAUCCAUGCAUUUUUGGUGGAAACACAUAAAAUGUCAUUUAAACUCCUAUUACCCAAUAUAGUCGACAAAAUAGGACAUUAAGACAUAGAAAACCUGUUAACCAUCUUCUAAAUACACUUUCACAUUAUUAGAGCCCUCUAGACAUCAAAUAACACCCCUAUAGUCACCUUUAUACUCCUAUUACCCAACAUAGCAGACAUAAUAAGAGAAAAUAAGACACAGAAAAUAUGUUUACCACCUUCUAAAUUUGCUUUUUAACAUUAUUAGAGCCCUCUAGACAUGAAAUAACACCCCUAUAGUCACCUUUAUACUCCUAUUACCCAAUAUAGCAGACAUAAUAAGAGAAAAUAAGACAGAAAACAUGUUUGCCAC
This is a non-coding RNA of Doryrhamphus excisus (bluestripe pipefish), 1701 nucleotides long. NCBI's taxonomy places the organism in Eukaryota, Metazoa, Chordata, Actinopteri, Syngnathiformes, Syngnathidae. The record is from RefSeq and is a predicted model, not a curated record.